UGGGGAAUAUUGCGCAAUGGGCGAAAGCCUGACGCAGCAACGCCGCGUGAGUGAUGAAGGCCUUCGGGUUGUAAAGCACUUUCGGUAGGGAAGAUUAUGACGGUACCUACAGAAGAAGCACCGGCUAACUCCGUGCCAGCAGCCGCGGUAAUACGGAGGGUGCAAGCGUUAAUCGGAAUUACUGGGCGUAAAGCGUGCGCAGGCGGCGACAUAAGACAGAUGUGAAAUCCCCGGGCUCAACCUGGGAACUGCGUUUGUGACUGUGUUGCUAGAGUGUAGCAGAGGGGGGUGGAAUUCCACGUGUAGCAGUGAAAUGCGUAGAGAUGUGGAGGAACACCGAUGGCGAAGGCAGCCCCCUGGGUUAACACUGACGCUCAUGCACGAAAGCGUGGGGAGCAAACAGGAUUAGAUACCCACGUAGUCCCUGAGCGGGCUGGCAAGGCGCAU
RNAcentral lists this ribosomal RNA (447 nucleotides) under uncultured bacterium. Its description in RNAcentral is "bacterial SSU rRNA". It matches the Rfam family "Bacterial small subunit ribosomal RNA", at positions 355 to 825 of the family's 1533-position model. The record is from RNAcentral.